AUAGUCGUAAAAUAGAUUUCUGGAAUUUCAGUGUGACGUCUCGUGUGGUCGGGCUGAAUGAAUGGCAACUGUGAUGCAUAAAGGGAAGUAAGGCAUGUUGUUGGGCUAGUCGGUUCAUAGAUUCAGCAAAAAUUUAUAAACUGCGCAAAAAAGACACAACCUGAACAGAAACGUGUGUGAGCUUUAAUGUUUCUGUUCAUGGCUUGUCUUCACGCAGUUUAAAAAUUUUCCUGAAACAAGAGAACAGGCACAAGUACUGAUUUGUAAUGAAAAACUUACUGAAUGCACAGAAUAUAUCUACCAUGAAAAUUGAAAUGCAACCAAUUCUGAAACUACUUGAAAAUGCUUCAUUUCCAGGUUUAGCUGCACUUGUAACAGUCUAAUUUAGACUCCAAAACAUGCACUUGAGACUACUUCAUGCUUAGAAACCAGCUACAGUGCGAUUACAUGUUGCAUAUCCAUGUCAUUAUGCGUAACAAAUAUUCAUUCCUGUUCUCAUUUCAAUUUAUGCUAUAACUGAGUAAACUCAAGAAAUAAAAUUCAUACGCUUUUGUCAGUAACUUCCAUCUGUUAUGUGUGCCUCAUUGUCCUGUACAGUAAAUAUUAUGUAUGCUUUUCCAAGAGUCAAUGAAAUUGUUACUUAUUGCAAAGCUAGAAGUAGGUGUGGCUCACACUAUUUUUUGCUGUUGUUGCUUUGAGUGUUACAUAUGGCUGUACAUUGUCCCGUGGCAUUGUCAGUCUCUUGACUAUUCGGUGAUAUCUCAAAUAAAUGCUAGACUAUUGAUAGGUGUAGUAUAAAUGAAGGUUUCACUGGCAGGCACAUAGAAAUUUAAUGCUUUCUGAGGCAUAAAAUGCCUGUGCACCUACACCUGCAAUCUUUCAUUGUGUUUUGCAUCAGAAGUGGACCACAAUAAGAUAUUCCUCUUAUUGUGUUCAACUUGGUGCCAAGGUGCCAUGAAUUUAUACCAGCCAGUCCAAAUAUAAUUUUUUUUGUUAAUGUAAUCUUUGACACAUGUGAAGAGACAACUAAAUUGUGGUCACAUCACAACUUUUUUAGAAGAAACACUGAUCGCUUAUGAUAAUGCCAAAAGCAAUGAAGAAAACCAGCUGUAUUGUCUGGCAUGCUCACAGAAGGCACUACAGGUACAAGUGUUUGACCUGAAAUAACAUCUUUUUUGUAGACAAAGUUAUGCCGUCCUGGCACACAUCUUUGGCUGUUGCUAUACAAUAUAUUGUUACAAUUAAUUUGUUUCGCUUUGAGAUUUUUCAGGAACCUGGUGCUAUUAAACAGUGGACCACAAUUGCAUUUAUUAAAGGGCAGCUAAAUGGCUACCAUACCCAUUUUUACAUUGUUUUUGGGCUGUCUCGCUCUGUCAUUAACAUUCCCUAGUUUCGCUAGCCAUUUAGCAGCUCUUGUAAUAAAUGCACAUGCACUCCACUGUUUAGUAGCGCCAGGUUUCUGAAAAAUGCAAAAACCAAAAAAGGAGAAGCUUAGAGGUACACUGGAUAACAAAAGUCAUAGACAAGUGUGUCAGUGUGGUUUCAAUAAGCUGAUCAAAAUGAACGGAUGGUAUAUAUCGAUAAACACUUGUAACUGUAGUGCCACCUUUCCACAUGCCUGUCAAUCUAUCGGGUUUUCUUUGUGGUUUUCGACAUGACUCUAAGACGAUGGCAUUCCUUAUUUCUGGGGUUUUACGUGCCAAAACCAGUUCUGAUUAUGAGGCACGCCGUAGUGGAGGGCUCCGGAUUAAUUUUGACCACCUAGGGUUCUUUAACGUGCACUACAACGCAAGCACACGGGCAUUUUUGCACCAAAUGAAGUUUAGUUGACAGUUAGCGUUAGUCCUGUUUUGAUUGUUUUCUUGUCCCAUUGUGCUGCUUCAUUGUGCCAUCAAGGUGAAUGAACUUGCAGAAAUCAAGUUGUUGAUACUAGAGCAUACCAUAGUUCUGCUACACUUUUACUGCACAGAGCAGAAAAAAGCCAAGGGAAAAUGUACAUGUGCAAUGUUAAACAAAGAAGACACAGACAAAACAAUUAUGUGUACCUGUCACAUAAAGAACAAAAAUAGGCAAUACUAUACUACUACCUACUCAUACAUACAAACUGGCAGAAAGCAAACUGAUCACAUAUUCGAAUGGGCCUCGAAUUGCUAACUCAACAAACCAGGAAGCACACACAACAUUUGAUAUGUUUCUUCAUUGUCCUUGCAAAGCUUCCAGUUAAAUCAUGUGCAGCUUGCUUAACAUUCUGUUUUUAUAAGGUUUUUCAUGGUGCCAAUCAACUGUGCUUCUGUAAUUUACCUUGGUGGGGGAAACAGCUUUAGCUACUUUCACAGUGUGGUCUUAGUUCAUUAGGGAAACCAUUUUCUCUGUGCUUUAAACAGUCAUUGCAAAUAUUGUUACCACUGCAUGUCGAGUUUGAAAAGGUUAGCCAUCUCAAAGUUUAUACCUAAGAUCAUUCAUACAGCCCCUGUGGAAACAUUGCUGUAGAAGUCACAUAGACAGCCUAGUACUUUUAUUCAGCUCAGAUAACAGCAGAAUUCUGCCCUACUUAUGAGAGUUCUUCCCUGGCUUACAGAAGGGGCCUUCUUCCAAAGUAAUUUCUUGGACCCUUUACGUUUGCACAAAUGUGUAAAAUCAGUUGCCGACGGAAGCUGGCAUUUCAGUGAAAAGACAUUUGUGAGGUGCAAUAGUCUACUAUUUAAUUAGAUGUCUAAUUUGUAUUGUUUCCUUUUUGCAAUAGAUAAGCAAUUCAGUUGGGCUGAGCCACACGUCAAGUCUUAUGCGGAGAUGGCUUGAUAAGGACAUAUUUAUAGCUGUGUGUAGUUGUGUUGAUGAUGGAAAUUUUUAAAGAUAACUCUUGGUUUUAUUUGAUUUUUGUUGCAGUCAUAAAAAUUUCGUCUAGUCUAGGAAGCAUGGUGCACUAUUUAGGUGUUCUACUAUAACAAGAACCGUGCUGCUGUUGAUUGCAAUAAUUAGAAUAGGUAACUCGAAAAUUCAGUUUCUAUGGAACCAUUAGAAGAAUUACCUAGCCUUGUAGGACUUGGCUAUAGUUUGUGCUGAAUAAUUGAGACAAUAGUGUUGGACAGAGUUCAUUAAGGAACAUUACAGGGAUUUCGUUAACAAUGGAGUUUAGUGCUACUCCUAGCUUGCUGUUAUGCAGCGUGGAAAUGUAAUUGUAUUGAAUGCAGUGGUUCUUGUGAGCUUCGGGUAACCACAUUUUGAGAGAAUUGUGCCUUUUAAAAGUGUACAAUGUAAUGUUUACUUUUCUAACAUAAAGAAUAGCUUGGUUAUGAUAAUCUUGCUGCCAAAUGUGUGGUAACUAAAAGCGUGCCUGCUGCUGCCACAAAAAUGCAGCAUCCUGGAAGCUUUUGCUUGUAUGAACUUAGUGUGCUGCAUUUACCAAGCAUGCACAAUACAAAAAAACUUCUUCAGCGCUUGGCAUUAACAUCAUGUUAUUUGAUGACAGCCAUGAAGAAGCGUUCAUUCAGCAAUAUCUUGCCUAUAGCCUAACUACCAAACAAAGUAGCCUUGCAAGGAAGAAAUUGUCUUUGUAUGGGUAGCAGUCAUUUACUAAUGUUUACAUCAUAUUAGCUGUCACAGUUUGUUCCAUCUUACUGCCAUAUACUCGAGCUUCCCUAUUUCUGUGUGGGUUAAAGGCAGCACCUAACAAUUAAUCCCUAUUUAUUAAUUUGCAUCACAGCUGUGAGCAGCAUCAUAGGUGCUGUCAACAUGCCAUAAAUGUUCACAAGCUUAGGGAGGUUACAAUAAAAGCAAAAGGAUAAUACAAGCUUAACUGCCCAUUAUCAUAUCUGCAUUUGUUUUUAUGUUCAGUCGUGAAGGCAGAUAUAUGCAGCUUGGAUAUACUUAGUGACUUCUCACAGUAAGACUCAGCAUCACAUUUUCAGUAGUUACAGAUGUGACUUGCCCAACUUUUUUUCUUACUAACAUCCACGGGAUGCACUCAGUAUGACUUGAAACAAGUGAGCUGUGGAAUUCAUCUUGAGGUGUUGCAUAAUUUGAGUUGGCGGUGCAUAUUGGGGGCUUGUGAAAAUAUUGAAGAGCUUACUAUAAUUUAGUACAGCUCUUGUGUGAUUCUGUACUUUACAAGAAAAUAUUUUAUGUAAACUGCAAAUGUAUCCAUGUUGUUCUUACAAUGCCACAUAGUAAUUGUGUUUAUCAUUUAUUAAAAUAAAACAUGGAGCUAACUGGUAGCAUUCCAUUGUGCUGCCACACCACUAGAGAAAACAGCAGAAAAUUAAGAACCAUAGGAUGCGUGCUUAACUGCCAACUAAAUUUUGAUAGAAAACUUUCUGCUGCAUAUACACACCACCGUUCCAACCUUUCAAAAUUUCUCUGCAUGAGUACAGAAAAUAGCACAUGACAGAAGUGUAAUUGAUGGAAACAGUAUUAACAAUGCAGUGUCAUGCUCUUAAAAAAACAUGAGUUUCCUAGCACAAAAAUAAAUGCAAGGGGGGUAGCGUCGACGCCACCACUAUUUCAGAGGUUACCCAGUCCUUGAGUGUGUAUGUAAUCUGUCCACGAAAAUGGGUAAACACCCACAAUCACUCCAAAAUUGUAAGGUGAGUACACAGUAACCUUCACAGAACUCGGAUGUUCUCUUCGCCUUGUGUUGACACAGCACCCUGUUUGACCCAUGUACGGAGUCACGAAAAGCACACGACUCUUUAUGAGCUACUAUUAGAUGGCAGAGACCGAACAUAUUGUGUGUUUGCUACACAAAAUCUUCCAGAGCCAGCAGUACUGUUUGCUCUAAUCUCAACUGCAGCAUAUGUUCAGGUACAGAUUGGUGUAGGAUUUGUGAUGCCACUCAACAAGUGGCAUUACAUACUAAAGUGUACCUCUGAAGCCAAGUGCGCAUUAGGUCUGGCACAGCACCUGUGGACACCAACACAAGCUGGGGAAAGAAGCCAGACUGGGCAGGCCUGCCGGACUAUCUCUGGUGCAUCUGGGAAGCUUCUGGCAAGACCAGAGAAAGUGGCUGCUGUGAAGAACUGCCUGGAGAAGUACAUCUGGGAACAUCCGAUGGGGCCACCAGCACCACCUUCAGAGCACCGCCUUGCUUCUGUAAGGAAGCACCUUUGGAGCUUCACAGAAGCGGGUGCGAGGGCAAGCGAGUGUGGAAGACGUGAAUCGCCUUAACCUAUUGCAUUUUUUCAAUAAAGUGUGAAGAUAUGGAACAUA
Dermacentor silvarum is the source of this 5205-nucleotide RNA transcript. RefSeq lists it as uncharacterized. Lineage: Eukaryota; Metazoa; Arthropoda; Arachnida; Ixodida; Ixodidae. The transcript is spliced from 3 exons. The record is from RefSeq and is a predicted model, not a curated record.